UACGUAGGGGGCUAGCGUUAUCCGGAAUUACUGGGCGUAAAGGGUGCGUAGGCGGUCUUUCAAGCCAGAAGUGAAAGGCUACGGCUCAACCGUAGUAAGCUUUUGGAACUGUAAGACUUGAGUGCAGGAGAGGAGAGUGGAACUCCUAGUGUAGCGGUGAAAUGCGUAGAUAUUAGGAGGAACACCAGUGGCGAAGGCGACUUUCUGGACGAUAACUGACGCUGAGGCGCGAAAGCGUGGGGAGCAAACAGGAUUAGAUACCCCGGUAGUCCCUGAG
Molecule: ribosomal RNA, 277 nt
Filed under: uncultured prokaryote
Description: partial 16S ribosomal RNA
Rfam family: Bacterial small subunit ribosomal RNA
Source: RNAcentral